This 497-nucleotide ribosomal RNA is filed under the name uncultured bacterium. Its description in RNAcentral is "partial 16S ribosomal RNA". It matches the Rfam family "Bacterial small subunit ribosomal RNA", at positions 28 to 507 of the family's 1533-position model. The record is from RNAcentral.
GAUGAACGCUGGCGGCGUGCCUAAUACAUGCAAGUCGAGCGAACGGACGAGAAGCUUGCUUCUCUGAUGUUAGCGGCGGACGGGUGAGUAACACGUGGAUAACCUACCUAUAAGACUGGGAUAACUUCGGGAAACCGGAGCUAAUACCGGAUGAUAUUUUGAACCGCAUGGUUCAAAAGUGAAAGACGGUUUUGCUGUCACUUAUAGAUGGAUCCGCGCUGCAUUAGCUAGUUGGUAAGGUAACGGCUUACCAAGGCAACGAUGCGUAGCCGACCUGAGAGGGUGAUCGGCCACACUGGAACUGAGACACGGUCCAGACUCCUACGGGAGGCAGCAGUAGGGAAUCUUCCGCAAUGGGCGAAAGCCUGACGGAGCAACGCCGCGUGAGUGAUGAAGGUCUUCGGAUCGUAAAACUCUGUUAUUAGGGAAGAACAUAUGUGUAAGUAACUAUGCACGUCUUGACGGUACCUAAUCAGAAAGCCACGGCUAACUACGUG